Molecule: ribosomal RNA, 496 nt
Filed under: uncultured bacterium
Lineage: Bacteria
Description: partial 16S ribosomal RNA
Rfam family: Bacterial small subunit ribosomal RNA
Source: RNAcentral
GAUGAACGCUGGCGGCGUGCCUAAUACAUGCAAGUCGAGCGAACGGACGAGAAGCUUGCUUCUCUGAUAUUAGCGGCGGACGGGUGAGUAACACGUGGAUAACCUACCUAUAAGACUGGGAUAACUUCGGGAAACCGUAGCUAAUACCGGAUAAUAUUUUGAACCGCAUGGUUCAAAAGUGAAAGACGGUCUUGCUGUCACUUAUAGAUGGAUCCGCGCUGCAUUAGCUAGUUGGUAAGGUAACGGCUUACCAAGGCAACGAUGCAUAGCCGACCUGAGAGGGUGAUCGGCCACACUGGAACUGAGACACGGUCCAGACUCCUACGGGAGGCAGCAGUAGGGAAUCUUCCGCAAUGGGCGAAAGCCUGACGGAGCAACGCCGCGUGAGUGAUGAAGGUCUUCGGAUCGUAAAACUCUGUUAUUAGGGAAGAACAUAUGUGUAAGUAACUGUGCACAUCUUGACGGUACCUAAUCAGAAAGCCACGGCUAACUACGU